ACCCGUCUAGCUCAGUUGGUAGAGCGCUGGCCUUUUAAGCCAGUGGUCGUGGGUUCGAGCCCCAC
This 65-nucleotide transfer RNA is filed under the name Albugo candida. It matches the Rfam family "tRNA", at positions 1 to 63 of the family's 71-position model. From Rfam's summary of the family: Transfer RNA (tRNA) molecules are approximately 80 nucleotides in length. Their secondary structure includes four short double-helical elements and three loops (D, anti-codon, and T loops). The record is from Rfam by way of RNAcentral. Lineage: Eukaryota; Oomycota; Peronosporomycetes; Albuginales; Albuginaceae.